UGAGUACGAGAUGCUACGGCAUCGAAGCAGUCUAUGUCAUACUUCCAAGAAAAGCUUGCACUGUCAUAAACAAAGAAUGCCUGUACCAUAACCGACACAGGUGGGUAGGUAGAGUAUACUAAGGGGCGCGAGAUAACUCUCUCUAAGGAACUCGGCAAAAUGACUCCGUAACUUCGGGAGAAGGAGUGCCUUAUUUCUAAGGUUGCAAUAACAAGAUCCAAGCAACUGUUUACCAAAAACACAGGUCUCCGCUAAGUCGUAAGACGAUGUAUGGGGGCUGACGCCUGCCCAGUGCCAGAAGGUUAAAGAAGUUGGUUAGCAUUAGCGAAGCUGAUAACUGAAGCCCUGGUGAACGGCGGCCGUAACGAUAACGGUCCUAAGGUAGCGAAAUUCCUUGUCGGGUAAGUUCCGACCCGCACGAAAGGCGUAAUGAUUUGGAUACUGUCUCGGAGAGGGGCUCGGUGAAAUAGACUUGUCUGUGAAGAUGCGGACUACCUGCACCUGGACAGAAAGACCCUAUGAAACUUUACUGUAACUUGAGAUUGAAAUUGGACUUUAUUUGCGCAGUAUAGGUGGGAGGCGUUGAGAAUAAUCUUGCGGGAUUGUUGGAGCCAUCAGUGAGAUACCACUCUUGUAAUGUUAGAUUUCUAACUUUGUAUCAUUAUCUGGUCAAAGAACGGUUUCAGGCGGGCAGUUUGACUGGGGCGGUCGCCUCCCAAAGGGUAACGGAGGCGCACAAAGGUUUCCUCUGAACGGGUAGAAAUCGUAUCUAGAGUGUAAAGGCAUAAGGAAGCUUGACUGUGAGACCUACAAGUCGAGCAGGGACGAAAGUCGGUCUUAGUGAUCUGACGGUGCUGAGUGGAAAGGCCGUCACUCAACGGAUAAAAGUUACUCUAGGAUAAUAGGCUGAUCUCCCCCAAGAGUUCACAUCGACGGGGAGGUUUGGCACCUCGAUGUCGGCUCAUCGCAUCCUGGGGCGGUAGUCCGUCCCAAGGGUUGGGCUGUUCGCCCAUGAAAGCGGUACGCGAGCUGGGUUCAGAACGUCGUGAGACAGUUCGGUCCAUAUCCGGUGUAGGCGUUAGAAUAUUGAGAGGAGCCUUCUCUAGUACGAGAGGACCGAGAAGGACAUACCUCUGGUGUACCAGUUAUCGUGCCAACGGUAAACGCUGGGUAGCUAUGUAUGGAGUGGAUAACCGCUGAGAGCAUCUAAGUGGGAAGCCCACCUCAAGAUAAG
This 1234-nucleotide ribosomal RNA is filed under the name metagenome. RNAcentral describes it as "bacterial LSU rRNA". It matches the Rfam family "Bacterial large subunit ribosomal RNA", at positions 1564 to 2808 of the family's 2925-position model. The record is from RNAcentral.